GUGAGGAAUAUUGCGCAAUGGAGGCAACUCUGACGCAGCCAUGCCGCGUGCAGGAAGAAGGCGCUACGCGUUGUAAACUGCUUUUAACCGGGAAGAAACCCCAGGACGUGUCCUGGGUUGACGGUACCGGAGGAAUAAGCACCGGCUAACUUCGUGCCAGCAGCCGCGGUAAUACGAAGGGUGCAAGCGUUAUCCGGAUUCAUGGGGUUUAAAGGGUGCGUAGGCGGAGCGUUAAGUCAGUGGUGAAAUCCUGCAGCUUAACUGUAGACUUGCCAUUGAUACUGGCGCUCUUGAGUGCGCUUGAAGUGGGCGGAAUGUGCCGUGUAGCGGUGAAAUGCUUAGAUAUGGCACAGAACACCAAUUGCGAAGGCAGCUCACUAAGGCGAUACUGACGCUGAGGCACGAAAGCGUGGGGAUCGAACAGGAUUAGAAACCCGUGUAGUCC
This 445-nucleotide ribosomal RNA is filed under the name uncultured bacterium. RNAcentral describes it as "partial 16S ribosomal RNA". It matches the Rfam family "Bacterial small subunit ribosomal RNA", at positions 354 to 796 of the family's 1533-position model. The record is from RNAcentral.